This 496-nucleotide ribosomal RNA is filed under the name Escherichia coli. RNAcentral describes it as "bacterial SSU rRNA". It matches the Rfam family "Bacterial small subunit ribosomal RNA", at positions 308 to 796 of the family's 1533-position model. The record is from RNAcentral. Lineage: Bacteria; Pseudomonadati; Pseudomonadota; Gammaproteobacteria; Enterobacterales; Enterobacteriaceae.
CCACACUGGAACUGAGACACGGUCCAGACGCCUACGGGGGGCAGCAGUGGGGAAUUUUGGACAAUGGGCGCAAGCCUGAUCCAGCCAUGCCGCGUGUCUGAAGAAGGCCUUCGGGUUGUAAAGGACUUUUGUCAGGGAAGAAAAGGCUGUUGCUAAUAUCGACAGCUGAUGACGGUACCUGAAGAAUAAGCACCGGCUAACUACGUGCCAGCAGCCGCGGUAAUACGUAGGGUGCGAGCGUUAAUCGGAAUUACUGGGCGUAAAGCGAGCGCAGACGGUUACUUAAGCAGGAUGUGAAAUCCCCGGGCUCAACCUGGGAACUGCGUUCUGAACUGGGUGACUAGAGUGUGUCAGAGGGAGGUAGAAUUCCACGUGUAGCAGUGAAAUGCGUAGAGAUGUGGAGGAAUACCGAUGGCGAAGGCAGCCUCCUGGGAUAACACUGACGUUCAUGCUCGAAAGCGUGGGUAGCAAACAGGAUUAGAUACCCUUGUAGUCC